This 496-nucleotide ribosomal RNA is filed under the name uncultured bacterium. RNAcentral describes it as "partial 16S ribosomal RNA". It matches the Rfam family "Bacterial small subunit ribosomal RNA", at positions 28 to 506 of the family's 1533-position model. The record is from RNAcentral.
GAUGAACGCUGGCGGCGUGCCUAAUACAUGCAAGUCGAGCGAACAGACGAGGAGCUUGCUCCUCUGACGUUAGCGGCGGACGGGUGAGUAACACGUGGAUAACCUACCUAUAAGACUGGGAUAACUUCGGGAAACCGGAGCUAAUACCGGAUAAUAUAUUGAACCGCAUGGUUCAAUAGUGAAAGACGGUUUUGCUGUCACUUAUAGAUGGAUCCGCGCCGCAUUAGCUAGUUGGUAAGGUAACGGCUUACCAAGGCAACGAUGCGUAGCCGACCUGAGAGGUGGAUCGGCCACACUGGAACUGAGACACGGUCCAGACUCCUACGGGAGGCAGCAGUAGGGAAUCUUCCGCAAUGGGCGAAAGCCUGACGGAGCAACGCCGCGUGAGUGAUGAAGGUCUUCGGAUCGUAAAACUCUGUUAUUAGGGAAGAACAAAUGUGUAAGUAACGAUGCACGUCUUGACGGUACCUAAGCAGAAAGCCACGGCUAACUACGU